GUGGCGAACGGGUGAGUAACACGUGAGCAACCUGCCCCUGACUCUGGGAUAAGCGCUGGAAACGGCGUCUAAUACUGGAUACGAGUAGCGACCGCAUGGUCAGUUACUGGAAAGAUUUAUUGGUUGGGGAUGGGCUCGCGGCCUAUCAGCUUGUUGGUGAGGUAAUGGCUCACCAAGGCGUCGACGGGUAGCCGGCCUGAGAGGGUGACCGGCCACACUGGGACUGAGACACGGCCCAGACUCCUACGGGAGGCAGCAGUGGGGAAUAUUGCACAAUGGGCGCAAGCCUGAUGCAGCAACGCCGCGUGAGGGAUGACGGCCUUCGGGUUGUAAACCUCUUUUAGCAGGGAAGAAGCGAAAGUGACGGUACCUGCAGAAAAAGCGCCGGCUAACUACGUGCCAGCAGCCGCGGUAAUACGUAGGGCGCAAGCGUUAUCCGGAAUUAUUGGGCGUAAAGAGCUCGUAGGCGGUUUGUCGCGUCUGCUGUGAAAUCCGGAGGCUCAACCUCCGGCCUGCAGUGGGUACGGGCAGACUAGAGUGCGGUAGGGGAGAUUGGAAUUCCUGGUGUAGCGGUGGAAUGCGCAGAUAUCAGGAGGAACACCGAUGGCGAAGGCAGAUCUCUGGGCCGUAACUGACGCUGAGGAGCGAAAGGGUGGGGAGCAAACAGGCUUAGGUACCCUGGUAGUCCACCCCGUAAACGUUGGGAACUAGUUGUGGGGUCCAUUCCACGGAUUCCGUGACGCAGCUAACGCAUUAAGUUCCCCGCCUGGGGAGUACGGCCGCAAGGCUAAAACUCAAAGGAAUUGACGGGGACCCGCACAAGCGGCGGAGCAUGCGGAUUAAUUCGAUGCAACGCGAAGAACCUUACCAAGGCUUGACAUAUACGAGAACGGGCCAGAAAUGGUCAACUCUUUGGACACUCGUAAACAGGUGGUGCAUGGUUGUCGUCAGCUCGUGUCGUGAGAUGUUGGGUUAAGUCCCGCAACGAGCGCAACCCUCGUUCUAUGUUGCCAGCACGUAAUGGUGGGAACUCAUGGGAUACUGCCGGGGUCAACUCGGAGGAAGGUGGG
This 1070-nucleotide ribosomal RNA is filed under the name uncultured Actinomycetes bacterium. RNAcentral describes it as "bacterial SSU rRNA". It matches the Rfam family "Bacterial small subunit ribosomal RNA", at positions 95 to 1177 of the family's 1533-position model. Lineage: Bacteria; Bacillati; Actinomycetota; Actinomycetes. The record is from RNAcentral.